GAUGAACGCUAGCGGCAGGCUUAACACAUGCAAGUCGAGGGGUAUGCCGAUUUAUCGGCAGAGACCGGCGCACGGGUGCGUAACGCGUAUGCAAUCUACCUUUCACAGAGGGAUAGCCCAGAGAAAUUUGGAUUAAUACCUCAUAGUAUAGCAAUUUCGCAUGAAACCACUAUUAAAGUCACAACGGUGAAAGAUGAGCAUGCGUCCCAUUAGCUAGUUGGUAAGGUAACGGCUUACCAAGGCAACGAUGGGUAGGGGUCCUGAGAGGGAGAUCCCCCCANACUGGUACUGAGACACGGACCAGACUCCUACGGGAGGCAGCAGUGAGGAAUAUUGGACAAUGGGCGCAAGCCUGAUCCAGCCAUGCCGCGUGCAGGAUGACGGUCCUAUGGAUUGUAAACUGCUUUUANACAGGAGAAACACUACUUCGUGAAGUAGCUUGACGGUACUGUAAGAAUAAGGAUCGGCUAACUCCGUGCCA
RNAcentral lists this ribosomal RNA (481 nucleotides) under uncultured bacterium. Its description in RNAcentral is "bacterial SSU rRNA". It matches the Rfam family "Bacterial small subunit ribosomal RNA", at positions 28 to 510 of the family's 1533-position model. The record is from RNAcentral.